Carassius gibelio (silver crucian carp) is the source of this 2942-nucleotide long non-coding RNA. RefSeq lists it as uncharacterized. The record is from RefSeq and is a predicted model, not a curated record. Lineage: Eukaryota; Metazoa; Chordata; Actinopteri; Cypriniformes; Cyprinidae. The transcript is spliced from 3 exons.
CCUGCUAACAUUCUACUGACUGUAAGUAACUUUGCAAGUACAUGUCAACUUAUUCGAACCCUAGCCCUACCAGUCUACUAAUAAUGUCCUAAUACUCUAAUGAGAGGUAAUAGAAAUGUAGGUGCAACAGAAUGUGGUAAAGGGACUAUCAAAAUAAAGUGAACCCGUGCUUCGUAAUAAUAUGACAGAUUAUAACUUGUAUUUCGGUAUAUUCUGUCUUUUAGUAGUUUUAUUUAGAAAUGACGACACGUAUUUGCUUGAUUAUCUGGUCAUCCAUAAUUUUUCAUCUGUAGGAUUUGCUUGAAGCUUUUUGGAUGCAGCAUUCAGAGCACACAUCUUCUUCCACUUCUUUUGUAGCACCAUCAUCUGAAUUCUUACAUGUACAGCAGAGGUCUGUCAGCUUGUCAUCGUUCGCUGAGGAAAAUACAUCUAAAUCUGGUUCUGUUCUGUCUCCUCGUACCCCAGCAUGUGGCACUAUUAAUGGCCUACAAGAGCUUUCUAUGCUUUGCCGUCAGUCAAUCUCCGCCUCGGUUUCUUCUCUCUUAGCAAUCGCUUCAUCCCUUCAACCUUCUUGUAACUUAAUAAACGCUCCACCCCAAGCAUCUCCCAGUUUUCCGCAGAGAGACCACCCUCCUCAGGAUGACUGGGAUGUGGAUCUGGAGGAACUGGAUAGCAUUCAAGGCUCGCCGUGUCCAUCUACACCUAUGUGGAAUGCAAAUCCCAUGCGUGACCCAGCUACACCAGUCUUGUGAUUCCCCAGUCCUGUUACUCUCAAGCCUUCAGUUGUGUCGCCACAGUGCCAGAGGGGUGCUUCAACACCAAGGACUCCGUUGCAGACCCAAGGGUCUCUUUUUCCACUCUGUGUCUUCCACUACUGAUUCCUCUUCCACAUUUACACCUCAUUCUCUCAACAUACCUGUCCUGACCAGUCACCUGGUCCAUCUGGUGUCUGCAGCCAAUAAGACAACUCCGAGAUCUCAGAGUCGCAUGAUGGGAGUCAAAGUGCUGUUUUAGCUGAUUAUUUUCAUUUGCAUUGUUCAAUUACGGUUUGUUGUCUUGUAGGUCAGUGGAUGGAGUCUUGAGGUGCCUGCACAUGGAGCUGCUGAUUGGCUAAGAAGUGAUCAGGUUUCCAGCUCUCAGGUGAGUGAGGAAGAGGAGUUCAGCAGGGAUUCAUGGGCAGUGAUGAAGACUGUGAUGGGAUUGGACGAGAAUAAUCCUUCUUGCUUUCUGCACUCUUAGUGUUGUCAUGGUACUCCGCAAGGUGCGAUGCAGGACAUGAUUCAUCAUCGCCUGGUAGAGGAAAGACUGGGAGAGCUCAGGACAGGAGCUGUGUUACUACUUAAACAAGAAACUAUAUUUCAGACCUCAUUAUAGAGUAUAAAAGGAAAUAAUAUAAACUUUAGAUUACACCAGAAGUUGUUUUAAUUUACUCUGUAUUAUCACUCUGAGCCAUGGCUUAAAAGAUAAUACAUGCAGAGCUGUGGGCAUUACAAGAUUAGUAGCACAAUAUUUUUAGAUUCAGUUCUUCACUCUUUUCUAUAAUUUCCAGUCCUCUACUGAGUUUCUAUCGAAUAAAGAGGCAAGAAUUCCAAAAUUCUCAUUAUUAUUAUUAUUUUUUUAAAGGUUGGUGUAUUUUCACCAUCACACCGAAAUCACUACCUGAAAGUCACACCCAAUAACCUUCUCAGGAUAUACCCACCUGAUGGGGUCUUCCAUAACUCUCUGCCAUCCCACCCUCCACUAGUUAGUCUUGUUCUGUUCUCCAGGGUAUUAUUACUCUUCUGUAUUUUCAAAAGCCUUUCUUCGGGUGUUUAAUGAGCCUGAUAUUGUGGUGUCCAGCAUUGUGCUUGUUUGUUGGUGAAUUUCCUGUCUUCGGGAGAUGAUCCCUUUCCAAAAGAAUUGCUUGAUUAAACAAUUUGUAGUGUUAUCUUUAUUAUUUGGUAAUAUUAUUUCACCCCAGUUGCUGCAUGUACAUGCAGGAGCGUGCAUUGCAUAGUGAACCCACAAGGCCUGCAGGGGACCUGGUCUCUCAGAUGGAGCUCCAGUUUGAUGAAGACGACAGUGAAAAUUAGACUGCUGAUGGUUUAGACUCUGCAGCUGUCUCUAAUGAGCUCCAUCAAGCACCUACAGUGUCCAGACCAACAGGAGACACAGCACGGGACACAGGUGUGUAUGUUGGAGUAUCAUCAAUUGAGCAAUAUCAUACAAGCAGCUUAAAGCAAGAGUGUUGUUUUAGUCUCAAAGUGAUGUACUGGGUGAAAGUUGGUGUGUAAACGAAUAUGUGUGUGACACAUUACUUUUUCCUGCUCUAACGGUGUCUACACUUGUAGUUUGGCUCUUUUAGUCUGGUCCAAAAAAAAAAAAGCAUUUAGUCCUGGUUGCCUAGUGUUAUCGCUGGCAUUUUUAACACUUAACCUAAAGAUACAAAAUAAGAGGCAUAUAGAUACGGGCACAGCCUAAUUGGACCGCGUUUAUGACAUUUUGCAAACUAAAAUGCUUUGUGCUGGGCUAAAUGCACUCUUUGUAUGUGUACAUAUGUGGUUGUAUUUUUACCAGCUGAGAACUUAUUAAGUUGUAAACACACUAAGUGUUCUAUAAACACUUGGCUUAAUAUUUUCCAUUUUCACUGCCAAAAAAAAAAAAAAAAAAAAAAACCUGCUCUGUAAUUUGUUUCCAAAUCAACAAUAUAAUUUGCUAAUUAACCAUAGUAGAAUGAUGCAUAAUUGGAAAAGAUAACAAGCUAGUUACAUGGUUGUUCCUCAGUCAUUUGAACCAUGUUGUUUUAACAAUAUUGGAUUCACGUACAGGUGGUGGCGUAAUCUCUUGUAAUUAAUAGCUUUGGGAAUUUAAUGUCUUAUGAUUAUAGUUUGCUUGCUAUGCUUUUGCGACCACAUGUUGAGAUAUGUAGUUUAAAACACAAAUUGUCAAUGCUGUUUGCCAGG